Molecule: ribosomal RNA, 757 nt
Filed under: uncultured bacterium
Lineage: Bacteria
Description: bacterial SSU rRNA
Rfam family: Bacterial small subunit ribosomal RNA
Source: RNAcentral
CGUGGGGAAUCUGCCUUUGAGCGGGGGACAACCUUUGGAAACGAAUGCUAAUACCGCAUAAAAACUUUAAACACAAGUUUUAAGUUUGAAAGAUGCAAUUGCAUCACUCAAAGAUGAUCCCGCGUUGUAUUAGCUAGUUGGUGAGGUAAAGGCUCACCAAGGCGAUGAUACAUAGCCGACCUGAGAGGGUGAUCGGCCACAUUGGGACUGAGACACGGCCCAAACUCCUACGGGAGGCAGCAGUAGGGAAUCUUCGGCAAUGGACGAAAGUCUGACCGAGCAACGCCGCGUGAGUGAAGAAGGUUUUCGGAUCGUAAAACUCUGUUGGUAGAGAAGAACGUUGGUGAGAGUGGAAAGCUCAUCAAGUGACGGUAACUACCCAGAAAGGGACGGCUAACUACGUGCCAGCAGCCGCGGUAAUACGUAGGUCCCGAGCGUUGUCCGGAUUUAUUGGGCGUAAAGCGAGCGCAGGUGGUUUAUUAAGUCUGGUGUAAAAGGCAGUGGCUCAACCAUUGUAUGCAUUGGAAACUGGUAGACUUGAGUGCAGGAGAGGAGAGUGGAAUUCCAUGUGUAGCGGUGAAAUGCGUAGAUAUAUGGAGGAACACCGGUGGCGAAAGCGGCUCUCUGGCCUGUAACUGACACUGAGGCUCGAAAGCGUGGGGAGCAAACAGGAUUAGAUACCCUGGUAGUCCACGCCGUAAACGAUGAGUGCUAGAUGUAGGGAGCUAUAAGUUCUCUGUAUCGCAGCUAACGCAAU